RNAcentral lists this ribosomal RNA (253 nucleotides) under uncultured bacterium. RNAcentral describes it as "partial 16S ribosomal RNA". It matches the Rfam family "Bacterial small subunit ribosomal RNA", at positions 524 to 776 of the family's 1533-position model. The record is from RNAcentral.
UACGAAGGGGGCUAGCGUUGCUCGGAAUGACUGGGCGUAAAGGGCGCGUAGGCGGUUUGGACAGUCAGAUGUGAAAUUCCUGGGCUCAACCUGGGGGCUGCAUUUGAUACGUUCGGACUAGAGUGGGGAAGAGGGUCGUGGAAUUCCCAGUGUAGAGGUGAAAUUCGUAGAUAUCGGGAGGAACACCAGUGGCGAAGGCGGCGACCUGGACGGACACUGACGCUGAGACGCGAAAGCGUGGGGAGCAAACAGG